CCUACGGGUGGCAGCAGUGGGGAAUAUUGGGCAAUGGGCGCAAGCCUUACCCAGCAAUACCGCGUGAGUGAAGAAGGUCUUCGGAUUGUAAAGCUCUUUGAUCAGGGACGAACAGAUGACGGUACCUGAAGAACAAGCCCAGGCCAAAUACGUGCCAGCACCCGCGGAUAAACGUAGGGGGCGAGCGUUGUCCGGAAUGACUGGGCGUAAAGGGUGCGUAGGCGGGAUAAUAAGUUAGGAGGGAAAUACCCAGGGCUUAACUAGGGUGCUGCUUCUAAUACUGUUGAGCUUGAGUGCGGGAGAGGUUAAUGGAAUUCCUAGUGUAGAGGUGGAAUGCGUAGAUAUUAGGAGGAACACCAGAGGCGAAGGCGAUUAACUGGACCGUAACUGACGCUGAGGCACGAAAGUGUGGGUAGCAAACAGGAUUAGAUACCCUGGUAGUC
RNAcentral lists this ribosomal RNA (443 nucleotides) under uncultured bacterium. RNAcentral describes it as "partial 16S ribosomal RNA". It matches the Rfam family "Bacterial small subunit ribosomal RNA", at positions 338 to 795 of the family's 1533-position model. The record is from RNAcentral.